UGACUCAGUCGGUGUCAAAUUGACUCUAGUAGGGAGUCCAGCUUUUAUUAAAAUGGCGACUCCCUAACGGAGUCAGAUUGACUCCUUCUGGGAAAACCAGCUG
RNAcentral lists this microRNA precursor (103 nucleotides) under Pediculus humanus corporis (human body louse). Its description in RNAcentral is "microRNA mir-929". The stretch from base 10 to 88 matches the Rfam family "mir-929 microRNA precursor family". The record is from RNAcentral. Lineage: Eukaryota; Metazoa; Arthropoda; Insecta; Psocodea; Pediculidae.